CCUGAGGUAAAAUUCUUAACCCGAGGUACUACUUCCGGGUUAGCAGAGUCUGUAACCUGAAGCGUCUGUAACCCAAGGUACCACUGUAUAGGCAAGAUGAACCUAGCUCGUAUAUCUAUAUUGGCAGUGAAAAAAGACAUGUUCUGUUUCUAGUUGCCCAGAGCCACAUGGGCCUUUCCUUUCCUCAUACGGUGUCUCCCUAAAUCAGCCUUCCUGAAUGGUUGAAGGAAGGACCUGGCAGCGGACCAGAGUGAAAGCCCUUCGCUGUUUGGGAAUUUCAAGGAACUCAAGAGUCUCUAGUCCUAGACACACUCACCUGGGAGAAAGUUUCAUUGAACACAGUGUGACCUAUUCUGGAAUUAAACCUGCAUAAAUUGUGCUGUAAAUUAGUCUGGCUCAUUCCCCUCCGUUAAUCUAUAUAUACAGACCUCAGUAGUUGUAAGAGAGUCAGCAAUUAAAACGGGGGUUAAGAAUAAACAGUGUUCUGCAGCAGUACUUUGAUGUACAGUCUCUUCAUGAGUUUAAUGUAUUAGUUUCUAGUAAGCAAAGGGGAAAGCUGCAACAAUUCAAUGAAAAAAAUGUGUUGUAAAAAAGCUACAGAGUGAGCUGUAAAUAUUAACCUUUUUAGCAGAGUUAAAUUACUAUUUAUUUGCAUAGCCUAUUUAUUGCAUUCUUCUAAAUACUGUUAGAUACUGGGGCACUGUCAACAAAUAGAGACUACUUGCAUUGUCCAUUCUACCAUCUCUAGAGUGCCCUCGUGCUGUCAACUUGCAUUAACAGUAAUAGACUAGAUUGCCCAAGCCAAGGUUAUUUGCCUAACUUCUCAGGGACCACACCUUGUACUUAUCCAACAUUAUUAGAACUGGUAUGUAUGAAAUGCUCUGAUUUACCAGGAUCACGGUUGCCAAUGUAUUCCUUUACAUAUUUCAUGCUUGUUGGCCUCUGUAUAUAUCAUUGUGUUGUGUAUUUAUGAGAGCUAAGAAGCAAUUGCUAAUAAGCAAUAAUUUAUAUGUCGAAAUGGCCAAGCAAUACGAAGGUAAAACCUGUAAAAGCAAAUGUUAAUGUUUAAACUUUUUUAAUAUUGCUUUUCAAAAUAUAAAACCAUAUUAAUUAAA
Non-coding RNA from Podarcis muralis (Common wall lizard), 1115 nucleotides. The record is from RefSeq and is a predicted model, not a curated record. Lineage: Eukaryota; Metazoa; Chordata; Lepidosauria; Squamata; Lacertidae.